UGCCCGAGCAGGGGUCUUCUUCUUCAGCCAAUUUUUUAGCUACCAAACCCUCUUUCCAUUAGAAUUUUUUAUAUUUGAAAUAGCUUUCAAAUACAAAAAACCAAAAAAAAAAAAAAACAAACAGAAAAUACAAUAGAAAAUCCAAACACAAACACUGUUUCAUUGCCUUUCUUCAGGUACACUUGUACACCCUUGGUUGAUGAAAUGAGAUGAAGUUUAGAUCAAGCCUCUUCUGAUGCAUUGCCUGUUUAGUAGUUAGACUGCAGUUAUGGUCAGUUAUGCCUAGCUGUUUAGUUUAAUUUGACUGAGAUUGAUUUGAACUAUUUCUAAUUUAUAUGAACUGCCUAGAAAUUGAAUUGUAAUGAUGUAAUUAUAUUAACUUGGGACUGCUUAAGCUUGUGGAACUGUGGAAAUUUUUGUUGGCAACUGUUUCAUGUAUUGCAUAGUCAUUUAGUAACAGGUUUCCUUGAUUGAAAUCUGUUGAAAUGAUAAGGAAUGACUGAGAAAGCAGAAGUUAGUAUGCUGUAGUCAAUAAUUUGGUAGUUAAAUAGUCCAAGUAACUUAGAAAAAUGCAAAAACAUGUUGUAGUAAUUUCCAAAUGCCCAGUUGUUGUUAAGAAUUUGUUUAAAUCAUGUA
Molecule: non-coding RNA, 636 nt
Organism: Nicotiana tabacum (common tobacco)
Lineage: Eukaryota; Viridiplantae; Streptophyta; Magnoliopsida; Solanales; Solanaceae
Source: RefSeq, a predicted model, not a curated record